UGGGGAAUAUUGCACAAUGGAGGGAACUCUGAUGCAGCGACGCCGCGUGAACGAAGAAGGCUUUCGAGUCGUAAAGUUCUUUUAUAUGGGAAGAUAAUGACGGUACCAUAAGAAAAAGCCCCGGCUAACUACGUGCCAGCAGCCGCGGUAAUACGUAGGGGGCUAGCGUUGUCCGGAAUCACUGGGCGUAAAGGGUUCGCAGGCGGAAAUGCAAGUCAGGUGUAAAAGGCAGUAGCUUAACUACUGUAAGCAUUUGAAACUGCAUAUCUUGAGAAGAGUAGAGGUAAGUGGAAUUUUUAGUGUAGCGGUGAAAUGCGUAGAUAUUAAAAAGAAUACCGGUGGCGAAGGCGACUUACUGGCUCAUUCUGACGCUGAGGAACGAAAGCGUGGGUAGCAAACAGG
Molecule: ribosomal RNA, 402 nt
Filed under: Verrucomicrobiota bacterium
Lineage: Bacteria; Pseudomonadati; Verrucomicrobiota
Also listed under: 1 other name
Description: Verrucomicrobia bacterium partial 16S ribosomal RNA
Rfam family: Bacterial small subunit ribosomal RNA
Source: RNAcentral